AUUUAAUUCCAACUGGAAAUAAAGAAAGUUUUCCACCAUCUCUCCAGGCACCCCGGAAGCGCAAAGAAGUUGAGAAUGGCACAGUGGAUGCCGAAUCCCUGAGCAAGUCUAAAGAAUGUAAUGGCGCCCCCCUGCUGUCCGAGUGUGCUCUGCAGGAGGUGAGGGACGACCUACAGCUCCACCUCUGCCUAUCGGCGCUCUUCACGCUACCCGUCAUGCUCCUCGCACCCUCGCUCAUCCACUGGAUCCGCAACCUGAGGUAUUCCACCCAGUUGGAUCCUGACCCCUGUUGGCCACACGCUGUGCCUCUAAUCAUUGUGUACAUGCUGCUUAUUAACUGCAACACUUUAAAACUCAGCAACAGUAAACUCCUGCCUCUGACAUCCUGCCUCCCUCUCCCCUUGUCCAUCGCCAUGGUGACCUUCUCUCCACUCCACCUCUACAGAGUCACCUACUUCCUGUUGGCGGCGCUCGUCCCUCUGGCCUUGUGUUGCGUGCUCUGACGGUAUCUGUCUGGUUUCAGUCCACGUCUCUACCAUAACAAGCCUUUCUCAAAAUUACAGCCGGACUCACUGAAGCUGCCUGAGACUGUUCCAGGAAGACCUUCUCUAUCUAGCUGCCAUGGAGCAGAGCCAUAGACAUACAUAGCUUGGGGAACUGUCUGCUCAAUGUUAGCGCUAAGAGCUCCAUGGCAAUUACACUAUGUUUUAAGAUGAGAGGAUGUAAUGGCCUUGGAACAUUUGGUGCAAAUAUGGCUCCAAUGGACUGACCUGAAACCAAGUUUGCCUUACUCUGUAUAUCUAUAGCUCUGCCUUCAAGGAGCAACAACUCCACAACCAGUGAAGCUACUGAUACUAGAGAUUCUCAACAGGGUGUUACUCUUACAAUGUGUGUUCUUUUUGGGUUUUUUGUUGUUUCUAGUGUCUACAGUGGCAUUGUUCACUGCGGUCACUACUCUGUAAACUCCUUCACUGCCUGCUGCUUAGCGAUGA
RNAcentral lists this long non-coding RNA (992 nucleotides) under Sander lucioperca (pikeperch). RNAcentral describes it as "lncRNA (ENSSLUG00000004681.1)". The record is from RNAcentral. Lineage: Eukaryota; Metazoa; Chordata; Actinopteri; Perciformes; Percidae.